This 722-nucleotide ribosomal RNA is filed under the name uncultured Fusobacterium sp. Its description in RNAcentral is "bacterial SSU rRNA". It matches the Rfam family "Bacterial small subunit ribosomal RNA", at positions 28 to 776 of the family's 1533-position model. Lineage: Bacteria; Fusobacteriati; Fusobacteriota; Fusobacteriia; Fusobacteriales; Fusobacteriaceae. The record is from RNAcentral.
GAUGAACGCUGACAGAAUGCUUAACACAUGCAAGUCAACUUGAACUUCGGUUUGGGUGGCGGACGGGUGAGUAACGCGUAAAGAGCUUGCCUCACAGAUAGGGACAACAUUUGGAAACGAAUGCUAAUACCUGAUAUUAUGAUUUUAGGGCAUCCUAGAAUUAUGAAAGCUAUAUGCGCUGUGAGAGAGCUUUGCGUCCCAUUAGCUAGUUGGAGAGGUAACGGCUCACCAAGGCGAUGAUGGGUAGCCGGCCUGAGAGGGUGAUCGGCCACAAGGGGACUGAGACACGGCCCUUACUCCUACGGGGGGCGGCAGUGGGGAAUAUUGGACAAUGGACCAAGAGUCUGAUCCAGCAAUUCUGUGUGCACGAUGAAGUUUUUCGGAAUGUAAAGUGCUUUCAGUUGGGAAGAAAAAAAUGACGGUACCAACAGAAGAAGUGACGGCUAAAUACGUGCCAGCAGCCGCGGUAAUACGUAUGUCACAAGCGUUAUCCGGAUUUAUUGGGCGUAAAGCGCGUCUAGGUGGUUAUAUAAGUCUGAUGUGAAAAUGCAGGGCUCAACUCUGUAUUGCGUUGGAAACUGUGUAACUAGAGUACUGGAGAGGUAAGCGGAACUACAAGUGUAGAGGUGAAAUUCGUAGAUAUUUGUAGGAAUGCCGAUGGGGAAGCCAGCUUACUGGACAGAUACUGACGCUGAAGCGCGAAAGCGUGGGUAGCAAACAGG